Non-coding RNA from Bacteroidetes bacterium GWB2_41_8, 107 nucleotides. The record is from Rfam. Lineage: Bacteria; Pseudomonadati; Bacteroidota.
UGUCGCCGGGUAAGUCCUGUACGACUAGCUCCUGUUGAAUUCCCCCAGGGUCGGAAGGCAGCAAGGGUAAACGGUUGAGCGGUGCGAUGCAGAUAGCUUACCCACUU